This is a long non-coding RNA of Ceratina calcarata, 909 nucleotides long. RefSeq lists it as uncharacterized. The transcript is spliced from 2 exons. The record is from RefSeq and is a predicted model, not a curated record. NCBI's taxonomy places the organism in Eukaryota, Metazoa, Arthropoda, Insecta, Hymenoptera, Apidae.
GGUUCAUUAACUCUUCACCAUUAAACGAUUAUCGUAUUAAUAUUGAGUCUUUUUAUAAAAAAAAAUCAGUCAAUUGCAGGAAAAAGACAUAAAUUGUUCCAGCCCAUGAUUGUAUGUGAUAGGCACUUUAGGAGAUGAGACAAAUGCAGCAAAAGGAAAAUACAUAGAAAAGAAAAUAAAGGUGUCGUGAUCCAGCGUCCCCGAGUAUCUACGCUGUUGGUUCGGCAAGUACCCCCUUGCUCUCCCUGUACGGAAAGUCUCUACCCACCAUGCCACGCUAUGCCGUGGUGUGCUGCGCUGUGCUACGGUUCGCCGUGCCAUCCUCAACCGCGUAGCGUGGCUAGUUGUUUCUUUUCUUUAUUCCUUUGUCGGAAAGUCGGUGGCGAGUCUCGUUUUUAAGAGAAGAGUAGAGGGGAGGAGGCAAAAAGGAAAAUGACGACCGACUCAGCAGGGGCUGAGGAAGGAAUGGUCGGGCCAGGGCCCACGGGGAGGGGUUACAAGAAGGGCAGGAGGGUGGGAGGGCCACGCAGCAAGGAGAAUAAAACUGAACUGUCCUACUAUCUGCGUCCGCCGUGGAGUGCACGGGACUGCACUUUAAAGAAGAACGCCGACGCUUGCCGCUCGGUUUGUCCCCGUGCCUUCGAAUGCAGUCGUCCGGCCGGCCUUUGCCGUCUGUUUCGUUUGCGUUAUUAUGCAAUGUUACGCGCGUAUAUCGCGCGCUGCCGCGCAUGCCGUCGUGCUAUUAAAGAAAAUUGACAUUUCGCGCUGUCUUGCAUUCUUUAGUAGCCGUAAGAACAUAAUGUGUCAAACACGUCAGGGGGAUAUUAGAUUAAGCUUAAGGUUCAAGCUUGGCAUGGUAUAAAUCUAAUACGAGUAUCGAAGACUCAUUCAUAUAUACUUCGCUGAAGA